ACUUUAUGAUGAGGAAAUUCAUGCAGAAGGUCCCUAAAAUGCUCCCAAGUCUUGAAAAAUUUCCCAUCAUAUAUCUGGAAAAAAACUAGUGAUGGCUUUCCUAAAUU
Small nucleolar RNA from Malania oleifera, 107 nucleotides. The record is from RefSeq and is a predicted model, not a curated record. NCBI's taxonomy places the organism in Eukaryota, Viridiplantae, Streptophyta, Magnoliopsida, Santalales, Ximeniaceae.